UAAUUGAUGAUGAUCAGUUGGCAGAGCAUUGGACUAGUAUCCCAAAGGGCGCGGGUUCGAUUCCCACCGUGGUUAG
This is a non-coding RNA of Paramuricea clavata, 76 nucleotides long. NCBI's taxonomy places the organism in Eukaryota, Metazoa, Cnidaria, Anthozoa, Malacalcyonacea, Plexauridae. The record is from the annotation of a GenBank genome assembly.